UUUCAGAUGUUGUGAUGAAGAUUGUUGAAAGGGAUUAUCAGCAUAGAACCAAUCCAUAUGAAUGUGCAAGUCAGGAAUGUGGAGCUAAUGCAUGCUGCUAAGGAUGGAAAAGUCUUGUGUUUAUUGGUUGUGCCUGAGACACCAGUCACAGUUGUAUCUUAUUUCCAUUUAAGGGAGUCUAUAUACAUUUGAGGUGAGCGGCAGAUUUAAUUUUGAAGAUGGGUGACUUUCAGAUGUUGUGAUGAAGAUUGUUGAAAGGGAUUAUCAGCAUAGAACCAAUCCAUAUGAAUGUGCAAGUCAGGACUUGUACAACACCUGAGUACCUAGAUGACUGUUGAACUAAUUGGUGACCAAGAAAAGAUGUCAGAGAGGGGAAUCCAAUACAGAUGUCAUGAUCAAGAAUAUAUACUGUUAUCAAUGAUAUGAUCAAGAAUUUGUAAACUUGUAACGAUUUAAAACAUCUUAUCUGUAAAUCACUCUUCAUUACUUAAUUGUUCACACAUUAUCAUCUACACUUAUGCUAUAAAUCUUAUCUGUAUAUUAAUCGCCCCCUCUUAUCUAACCCCCUGCUGAUCGUAAUGACCUGUGUAUUGACUCCUGAUCUUAAGGAUCUUGUAAUGUGCUCCUGAACGUCAGGAACGGAUCUUGAGUAUAUAUAUAGUGUGACAGAACUUUAGAAUAAGAUAGGAAGAUGGAAAUAUAGAAGACUAAGUAGAUAGAACUGUUAGAGAUAGAUAAAGUUACUCACUUACUUGGACUAUUACCUAAUAUUUCUUGGAUUUAUAUGUACAUGUGAUUGUUUUACUUGGAUUUUAUUUUUUGUGAAUUAUUUUUCCUGAAUGUUUCUAUUUGUGAUGUGCUGUGUAAGUGAACUGUAGACUAGAAUUUCAGCAUCUAUUUUCAAG
Molecule: long non-coding RNA, 905 nt
Organism: Saccostrea cuccullata (small rock oyster)
Lineage: Eukaryota; Metazoa; Mollusca; Bivalvia; Ostreida; Ostreidae
Exons: 4
Source: RefSeq, a predicted model, not a curated record